This 200-nucleotide unclassified non-coding RNA is filed under the name soil metagenome. Its description in RNAcentral is "partial contains internal transcribed spacer 2 and large subunit ribosomal RNA". The record is from RNAcentral.
GAGCGUCAUUACAAACCUCAAGCAUUGCUUGGUUUUGGGCCUCGCCGUUAACCCGGCGGGCCUUAAAAUCAGUGGCGGUGCCGUCGAGGCCCUGAGCGCAGUAAAUAUCCUCGCUAUAGGGACCCGGCGGCUUCUGGCCAUUUUAACCCCCACUUUCUAAGUUUGACCUCGGAUCAGGUAGGGAUACCCGCUGAACUUAA